CCUACGGGAGGCAGCAGUCUAGAAAUCUGCGCAAUGGUCGAAAGCCUGAAGCAGCGACGCCGCGUGAGGGAUGGAGUCUUUCGGGAUGUAAACCUCUGUCGAGGGGAACGAUUAUGACGGUACCCCUCGAGGAAGCCUCGGCUAACUCCGUGCCAGCAGCCGUGGUAAUACGGAGGAGGCAAGCGUCGUCCGGAAUCACUGGGAGUAAAGGGCGUGUAGGUGGCCUGACGGGUCAGGUGCGAAAUCCGGUUGCUCAACAGCCAAAGCGCAUCUGAAAAUAUUGGGCUUGAGGACAUGAGGGGAGAGUGGAACUCGCGGUGUAGCGGUAGAAUGCGUGGAUAUCGCGAGGAAUGCCGAUGGCGAAGGCGGCUCUCUGGUGUGUUCCUCGUAGAGGAACUAGUUGAUUUAGUUUUCACUGAUUGGAUUGACUGGUCCGGCCACUGACACACGAAAGCUGGGGGAGCGAACGGGAUUAGAUACCCCCGUAGUCCCAGCCCUAAACUAAGUACACUUGGCAUACGUCUUCAGAUGUGUGCCGGAGGUAACCUGUUAAGUGUACCGCCUGGGGACUACGCUCGCAAGGGUGAAACUCAAAGGAAUUGACGG
Molecule: ribosomal RNA, 606 nt
Filed under: uncultured bacterium
Lineage: Bacteria
Description: bacterial SSU rRNA
Rfam family: Bacterial small subunit ribosomal RNA
Source: RNAcentral